This 440-nucleotide ribosomal RNA is filed under the name uncultured bacterium. RNAcentral describes it as "partial 16S ribosomal RNA". It matches the Rfam family "Bacterial small subunit ribosomal RNA", at positions 338 to 795 of the family's 1533-position model. The record is from RNAcentral.
CCUACGGGAGGCAGCAGUGGGGAAUAUUGCACAAUGGGGGAAACCCUGAUGCAGCGACGCCGCGUGAGUGAAGAAGUAUCUCGGUACGUAAAGCUCUAUCAGCAGGGAAGAAAAUGACGGUACCUGACUAAGAAGCCCCGGCUAACUACGUGCCAGCAGCCGCGGUAGUACGUAGGGGGCAAGCGUUAGCCGGAUUUAUUGGGUUUAAAGUGAGCGUAGGCCGGCUUUUAAGUCAGCGGUGAAAGUCCGCGGCUCAACCGUGGAAGUGCAGUUGAAACUGGAGGCCUUGAGUGCACACAGGGAUGCCGGAAUUCAUGGUGUAGCGGUGAAAUGCUGAGAUAUCAUGAAGAACUCCGAUCGCGAAGGCAAGUGUCCGGGGUGCAACUGACGCUGAGGCUCGAAAGUGCGGGUAUCAAACAGGAUUAGAUACCCUAGUAGUC